Molecule: non-coding RNA, 4621 nt
Organism: Drosophila virilis
Lineage: Eukaryota; Metazoa; Arthropoda; Insecta; Diptera; Drosophilidae
Source: RefSeq, a predicted model, not a curated record
ACGGAAUCAGGUACGGGCUCUACUGGGUCUAGUACAGGGCUUGAAACCGGGGUAAUUUUAGGAGCCUUUCCCUCGCUGACGCACUCUUAGGUGCAAGUUCCACCUAGUAAGUAUAUCUACAGGUAUAUAAUUAACAAAAAAAAAAACAAUAUAAACAAUUGCAAAAAAAAAUCUUGUUUUAGGAGUCUAUGUCUGACUCGGCCAUUUUCUCGGGCGACGUGGAACGGACUUAUUCAGUGAUGAAGUGGGCGUGGUCUCGCUAUGGCCACCUCUCUGCUGUUGGAGCCCGGUUUUGGUGGCUCUUCUUGCCGGUGGCCGCUUCUUCGUCUUGGGAGCCUCGUCGAUGGUGGCGCCGCUGACAAGUGCACGGAAUUCAGGCACUGUGCGCCAACAAAUGGUUGAGAUAACUCUAAUAGAGUGUUCUUUUUGUUGUUUUAACCUCGCACGACUGCGUGUUUUAUCACAAGUGUAUGUGUGUGUGUAUGAUGGAUAUUAUUUGUUUUCGGCGAUUUGGUUUGCAAUAUAUUCUGUAUGUAAUAAAUUUGUGUUUUCUAAAACGCCCGUUCUCGAUUAAAUUUAAACUUUAUUUUUAUAAAGGCCUGAUGGACUGAAGGACUGAUGACUUGCGGCCGGCAUUGAAAAACUUCAACUCGCUUUUGAGCACGGCACACCCGCCGUUAACCGCUGAAAAAGUCGAACUCCUCUGUAUACAUUUGGGCAGUAACAUCAUAGGCGCCGAAUUUCGGCGCACGCAUACAUUUAAAGACGGCCACCGUUCUUGCUCAUCUGCACAGAUGAAUUUUUCUGGGCCCAAAUAAAGGCCAAGAACAUAUCGAAGGGCAUGCGAUUCACUCUCCCUACUCUGUACUGGCGUCGCUGACCGAAGAGGAACGCGCUGCCGCCGUUAACGCUUGGUGAGGAUCAAACGUUCCUGGAGAUCUUCUUACUCUUAGGCGUUGGUACCUAUGGAUCGGACGACGCGGCUCUUUAGGAAUUUCCGGGCGAACUUGGUAUUGAAGGCUUUACCAAAGCUGCUGAGUGCGAAGUUGCGCCACCAGACUUCGUGACUCGGCACCAGAUGGAAUUGUCGCGGUCGUUGAUCAUAGCGUUACCGACUCCGCUCGUUUGGGGUGUGUAGGUGUCCCUUGACCUGGUUUCGGAUUACAGCCAGACUUUCCUUUGCGUCUAGGUCAGAAAUGUCGUGAUCCACCAUGUCCACUGCUUCCGGGCCAGCUUGUAACUGGAACCAUUCAAGUAUAUGUGCUAUCCAAACACCACAAAGAACGGAGUCACCCCCGUUGCGCUGUGCCACUUCUACCUCUGGCAGGUACGCGUCCCAUUCUCUGUGAUCCUGGCCCAAGUAUGUUCUUAUCGCAGACAGUACCGUGCGACUCACGCGUUCGGCGGCGUUACUCGGAGGCGAGUAGACCGGGUACGCGAAUGCGUGUUGCCAAAUGCCUGGACCAUUGCAUUGAAUGAUUUUGAAAUAUAUUGCCGCCCAUUAUCCGAGUGAAUCACUUCCGGCACGCCAAAUUUAAAGAACACCUCGUGUACAAGGAAGUUGACGACUUCUGCCGCGGUGGCUUCCUUCAUAGGUAUUAAAAAGGUAAACUUUGAAAAGUGGUCCACGUCUACGAAUAUCCACGCAUGCCCUCGUUUCGACCGUGGAUAUUUCCCCAAGAAGUCGAUGUAUAUCUUCUAGAAUGCACGUAGUCCCUGACUUGUAUAGUCAUGUUGGGCGAAUAGAAUCGACGACGCAGCGCGUGCAGCGCUCCAUGAGCUGACGGCGCGUCCGUUGUUCCUUGACCGUCCUUGCGUUUGGGAUGUUCCGGAUCGCCUCCACUCUUCCCGAAUACAUGCGCAAUGUCCCACCAAUGAAAUCUCGGCGAAGUUCUUUAUGAAUCGGCGAUACCACCCCGUCGUACCUAGAAAGCUUCGUUGUUCCUUGACCGUCCUUGGGUUCGGGAUGUUCCGGAGUGCCUCCACUCUUCCCGUUGCGGAAACAAAAUUUGGACUUCGGCCACCAAUUCCAAGUAUUUCAGGUGCGUCGGUAAAUCUGCCGAUAUGGGUAAAUUGUCGAGAUAUACGAAUACGUUUGAUCUCAGACUUGCCGGGAUUACUAUGUCCAUGAUCUCACAUAAUUUUUGAUCGGCGUUGCAGAGCCCAAAUGGCAUGUGGCAGAACUGGUACAGCGGCCUCCCUGGCACAGUAAAUGCCGUAUACGCCCUGCUCCUCUCCUCCAUCUCGAUUUGCCAAAAAGUGAACUGUUCAAACUGUUAAAUUUCCUGGCGUCUAAACAAAACCUGUUCUUCCCAAGCCUCAUCAUGCCUAUCCUUCACGGGUUCGGCUCCGAUCAGCUUUAUACGAUGCUGCAACAGGUGAGUUUUCCCUAUGCCACCCGUUUCUAAUCGACUCUUCUGAUCGUUGUCCAGGCUCCACAUUUCCGGAUCUGUCACGCGGUCGUCGUCGUCUCGAUAAUAAGCUACCACUGGGUUCGUUACCGUUAGCUCAGAUGCCGCUGGAGCUACUUCGGACUUAAUGGGCGGGCCGAGCAACUCUGGGGCAAUCACGAAAGUCCGCAACAAGUCGAUUUCCAGGCAGAACAAUGCGGCCUAAAAUUUGGCGAUUGUCACCCACCGCUGUCCUUACCAUCGAUGCGUAUGGCUCCGCUUCCUAUCCCAGUUCCUCCACUUACUCCCGCCAACCUCGUCCCAGCAGACUGACAGGUUCCUGUGUCUAACAGAACGUUCUUUUGGAUCCAAGCGACCUACACGCGGAUCUAGGCUAGCCUCCCGUUUCACAGCUUCGAUGACCCGGUGCCUAUCUUUCCAAAAAUCCUAUUCCGGGCCGACAUGUAUACCCGUUUUAUACACGUUCUUCAUAUAGUAAGCCUCUUAAUGGUAUUCCUUAAUUUUUAAUCCUUAUAUAUAACCUUAACCUGGUCCUUAUGGUCUAUAUUCUUCUCCUCUACCAGUGUUAUUGUUUGUGGUAGAUGUUCCUCUCUUGUUUUUCGGCGAUCGCCGUCCCUAAACGUGUCUGUCCUGCUACUAUUGAGCUCCCUCUGGGGUUUCCCGGGCAAUUUUCGCAUUGGGCACAGAAUGUGUCCGGAUUUCCGCAUCUGUAGCAGAAUAUCUUUCUCUUCUUAGAUAGGCAGUAUCUAAAGACAUGGUCGAACUGCCUUCAGUUCCAGCACACUACUCGACAUCAUCUGCCUCGCAUGAAUGCCUCCUCCAGUUUUUUAGGUGGUGUUUCCGCACGAUGUGGUGGUACUUCAACCUUAUGAACUGUGGGCCUCUUUCCUUGUAAGUAACGCGACGGCUGCACGUAGGCUUCUGCGACCACUGUGCCACUACACUUCUAUGCAUUCAUGGCGCAGCUCAUCCACGGUUAGUACAACCAUGGCAUAGAUGUGUUUCGACAAACUCUCCUCAAGCCAUGCUUUAUAAUCUUUACCAGUUCACGGUCUCUUAGCGUGUGACGCAUGUGGUGAAUAUAGUCGUCCACCCCUUUGCUGGUCUGUUGCUCUCGCUGCGGUAGCUCCUGCAUCACGUCGUACUCCGUCUGAUAUCCCCAAAACCUGUUUAAGAGAGCGUGCCACAGUUGCAUCCAGCUAACCCUGGAAUGCCGCACGUGCAUCCAGUACCGCUCGCGGGCACGGCCGAUCAGGAGCAGGAAAACAACUCGCAGGACCUCCUUCCACGGGCAUUGAUACUGCCUCUGCAGGAACUCCAGGCGAAACACGAAGUCCUCAACAGAAUUCAUUGCGUCCUAGCCAUCGAACUUGACAUUCCACCGUUCAAGCUUUAGGUACGUCGCUUCUCGUACGUUGGCAUACGCUUCCUCCGGCUGAAAGUCAUCCGCUCUCUGGUCCUCCACUCGGAAAUGGCGAUUAUUCGGAUUCCGGUAGUUCCUCGGUGAGCAUCGGCGCAAUAUACUGGGCUGCUGGAUGAGUACUUCGCUCCCCGCGCGACCUAAUUGGGCGCCAUAAUGUUACGAAACUUCUUGUUUCUCGGUGGGCCACGCAGGCUGGCUUAUCGGCUUUUCUGGGUGUAGUCCCAUCCCUGGCCCGCAGUCGGCACAAUCGAUUACAACAAAGCUACACGUCUGUGGCAAAACAGACUUACACACCACUCUGCAAAACGAACAAAAAUUGAUAACAAUAAACAAUCGGAACUUCUAACAGCUGAACAACAUAAACAGCUGUGACGAUAAGUAAAUGUAACCAUCUAAGGUGAGAUGUUAAUAUAAAAUAACAAAGAAAUAAAAGAAAGGGGAGACAAUCAAUCCAAUAAAGUUGACCAAAAUCGUGGCAGACGUAAUAAUCUUUGGGCCAUUUCGCACUUUCGCGCUUUGUUCGCACUUUCGGAAAUUUCCUUAAUUGCGACUAGUCGUGAGUAUAUUAUGUAUUCAAUUUACAAAAAAAAAAUUAGAGUUAACAAUUCCAAAAAAAAAAUAUUUGGACACAAAUUGAUAACAAGAAACAAUCGGAACUUCUAACAGAUGAACAACAUAAACAGCUGUGACGAUAAGUAAAUGUAACCAUCUAAGGUGAGAUGUUAAUAUAAAAUAACAAAGAAAUAAAAGAAAGGGGAGACAAUCAAUCCAAUAAAGUUGACCAAAA